Long non-coding RNA from Pipra filicauda (Wire-tailed manakin), 425 nucleotides. RefSeq lists it as uncharacterized. The record is from RefSeq and is a predicted model, not a curated record. The transcript has 2 exons. Lineage: Eukaryota; Metazoa; Chordata; Aves; Passeriformes; Pipridae.
UGUGGGAAAGUCAAGGGGCUGCUACCAGUACACAUCUCCCACUCUAAGAGGUCACAUGCCAAUGCUCCUCCUCACUGCCCAGGAUCACUGUCCCUACAGACCUACCUGCUGUUGGAUUGAGUGGUUGGUCCCUUAUCAGCUUCACCAGAAUGAGCUGAAGUUAAACACAAAGCUUUUGUUUUGGUGAAAGGGCAACAAUUCACAUCUUCCUGUGUGUGCACAGCUUUGUUUCAGCUGUGAACUUAGCAGAGAGUUUCCCUGGGAAUGGCUUUGUGUGUGCAACUUUUCUGUAAGAAGAGACAAGGAAGGAGGGAAUGGAACAGGGAACCUGAGCUAACCGGGCAGACUGGAGAUGAAUGACCUACACGAAUCCUUGGCAUCAGCCAGGCGGAGUUUCUUUGAAAUAAAUUAUGCAAUAGUGCAAA